CAGGCCUAACACAUGCAAGUCGAACGAAGGCUUCGGCCUUAGUGGCGCACGGGUGCGUAACGCGUGGGAAUCUGCCCUGGGGUACGGAAUAACUCAGAGAAAUUUGAGCUAAUACCGUAUGAUGACGUAAGUCCAAAGAUUUAUCGCCCUGGGAUGAGCCCGCGUAGGAUUAGCUAGUUGGUGAGGUAAAGGCUCACCAAGGCGACGAUCCUUAGCUGGUCUGAGAGGAUGAUCAGCCACACUGGGACUGAGACACGGCCCAGACUCCUACGGGAGGCAGCAGUGGGGAAUAUUGGACAAUGGGCGAAAGCCUGAUCCAGCAAUGCCGCGUGAGUGAUGAAGGCCUUAGGGUUGUAAAGCUCUUUUACCCGGGAUGAUAAUGACAUACGCGGGAGAAUAAGCUCCGGCUAACUCCGUGCCAGCAGCCGCGGUAAU
Molecule: ribosomal RNA, 435 nt
Filed under: uncultured bacterium
Lineage: Bacteria
Description: bacterial SSU rRNA
Rfam family: Bacterial small subunit ribosomal RNA
Source: RNAcentral